GACGAACGCUGGCGGCGUGCUUAACACAUGCAAGUCGAACGAUGAAGCCGGAGCUUGCUCUGGUGAAUUAGUGGCGAACGGGUGAGUAACACGUGAGUAACCUGCCCUUGACUCUGGGAUAACUGCUAGAAACGGUAGCUAAUACCGGAUACGACUCUCGGAGGCAUCCCCAGGGGGUGGAAAGAACUUCGGUCAAGGAUGGACUGGCGGCCAAUCAGCUAGUUGGUGAGGUAAUGGUUCACCAAGGCGACGACGGGUAGCCGGCCUGGGAGGGUGACCGGCCACACUGGGACUGAGACACGGCCCAGACUCGUACGGGAGGCAGCAGUGGGGAAUAUUGCACAAUGGGCGCAAGCCUGAUGCAGCAACGCCGCGUGAGGGAUGACGGCCUUCGGGUUGUAAACCUCUUUUAGUAGGGAAGAAACGAAAGUGACGGUACCUGCAGAAAAAGCACCGGCUAACUACGUGCCAGCCGCCGCCGUAA
This 484-nucleotide ribosomal RNA is filed under the name uncultured bacterium. RNAcentral's name for it is "partial 16S ribosomal RNA". It matches the Rfam family "Bacterial small subunit ribosomal RNA", at positions 28 to 523 of the family's 1533-position model. The record is from RNAcentral.